AUUGAACGCUGGCGGCAUGCCUUACACAUGCAAGUCGAACGGUAACAGGUCUUCGGAUGCUGACGAGUGGCGAACGGGUGAGUAAUACAUCGGAACGUGCCCGAUCGUGGGGGAUAACGCAGCGAAAGCUGUGCUAACACCGCAUACGAUCUACGGAUGAAAGCGGGGGAUCGCAAGACCUCGCGCGGACGGAGCGGCCGAUGGCAGAUUAGGUAGUUGGUGGGAUAAAAGCUUACCAAGCCGACGAUCUGUAGCUGGUCUGAGAGGACGACCAGCCACACUGGGACUGAGACACGGCCCAGACUCCUACGGGAGGCAGCAGUGGGGAAUUUUGGACAAUGGGGGAAACCCUGAUCCAGCCAUGCCGCGUGCAGGAUGAAGGCC
This 384-nucleotide ribosomal RNA is filed under the name uncultured bacterium. Its description in RNAcentral is "bacterial SSU rRNA". It matches the Rfam family "Bacterial small subunit ribosomal RNA", at positions 29 to 416 of the family's 1533-position model. The record is from RNAcentral.